This 279-nucleotide ribosomal RNA is filed under the name uncultured Lachnospiraceae bacterium. RNAcentral describes it as "partial 16S ribosomal RNA". It matches the Rfam family "Bacterial small subunit ribosomal RNA", at positions 66 to 339 of the family's 1533-position model. Lineage: Bacteria; Bacillati; Bacillota; Clostridia; Lachnospirales; Lachnospiraceae. The record is from RNAcentral.
UCUUUGAUUCUUCGGAUGAAGAGGUUUGUGACUGAGUGGCGGACGGGUGAGUAACGCGUGGGUAACCUGCCUCAUACAGGGGGAUAACAGUUAGAAAUGACUGCUAAUACCGCAUAAGACCACGGAGCCACAUGGCUCAGUGGGAAAAACUCCGGUGGUAUGAGAUGGACCCGCGUCUGAUUAGCUAGUUGGUGGGGUAACGGCCUACCAAGGCGACGAUCCAUAGCCGACCUGAGAGGGUGAUCGGCCACAUUGGGACUGAGACACGGCCCAAACUCC